Molecule: unclassified non-coding RNA, 138 nt
Filed under: soil metagenome
Description: partial internal transcribed spacer 1
Source: RNAcentral
CUGAGUACUACACUCUCUACCCUUUGUGAACUAUUAUACCUGUUGCUUCGGCGGCGCCCGCAAGGGUGCCCGCCGGUCUCAUCAGAAUUUCUGUUUUCGAACCCGACGAUACUUCUGAGUGUUCUUAGCGAACUGUCA